RNAcentral lists this ribosomal RNA (490 nucleotides) under uncultured eukaryote. RNAcentral's name for it is "bacterial SSU rRNA". It matches the Rfam family "Eukaryotic small subunit ribosomal RNA", at positions 527 to 1045 of the family's 1831-position model. The record is from RNAcentral.
AAAAAACUUAACGACUAACAAUUGGAGGGCAAGUCUGGUGCCAGCAGCCGCGGUAAUUCCAGCUCCAAGAGUGUAUAUUAAAGUUGUUGCGGUUAAAAAGCUCGUAGUUGAAUUUCUGAAAAUAAUCUUGUGAUUGAUUUAACCGUCAUGAACAAAAUUGUUUACAUACUUGAUAGAUGGAAACAUUUAUCUUAAUGACUUUGAAAAAAUUAGAGUGUUCAAAGCAUGAUUCACAUUUGAAUAAUACAGCAUGGGAUAAUAUAAUAUGACAUUAGUUAAAAUUUGUUGGUUUCUUUGGCUAAUGUAAUUAUUAAAAGGGGACAGUUGGAGUAAUUUAUAUUGGUGGGGAGGGGUGAAAUCCUAUGAUCCUUCCAAGAUAAACUAGUGCGAAAGCAUUUUACUAGGAUGUUUUCAUUAAUCAAGAACGAAAGUUAGGGGGAUCGAAGAUGAUCAGAUACCGUCGUAGUCGUCAACCAUAAAACUAUAGUCG